Molecule: long non-coding RNA, 1667 nt
Organism: Acanthochromis polyacanthus (spiny chromis)
Lineage: Eukaryota; Metazoa; Chordata; Actinopteri; Pomacentridae
Exons: 3
Source: RefSeq, a predicted model, not a curated record
GUUCACUGAAAACUCUGACUUUGUUAACCCUGAAAUGAGGGAAACUCAGAGUUUUCCGUUUCACGAAGCGAGGUAACUUAACCCUGAGACAGAGGGGUAACUCUAGCCUGUUUCACAAAGAGGGGUAACUUCAACUCUCGGUCAGUUACCGCAGUAACAGACUCUAUGACUCUAACCUGGUCACCAGCAGGUUUAUCUGAGAAAACCUCCAGUUUCUCUCCGUCUCCGCCCUCUUUCAGCCACACGCUGUUUCAUUUCCUCAUUCAUUCAGUCAGUAAGCGAGCGAGUUUUGGCGUAGAACAGCUUUUAUUAACGAUCCAGUGGAUAAAGGAGCAGCAUUACUGCACAGAUAAUUAAAUAUUCGUCGGUAGAUUGUUAUCAGACCGAGCAUAAAUGUUCUCGCAUUUCCGGACAAUUAUCGGUUUGAGCGGUACCGUUUCGUAAUCGUUUCAAGUCCAUAAUCUACAUAAACAACCUAAUCCGUCCUUACAUUUACAUUACCAACCAGUCAUGCUCUCACAUCCAGCAGAUAUUGUGUGUUGCGCUGCGGUUCUUUGCAAAUGGAAGUUUUUAUAUGAUGUCAGAGAUGCAGAGUAAGACAACUGUAUGGAGGACAGUCAGAAAAGUUUUCCUGGCUCUGAAACGACUUUUACCAUCAUUGUGGUUUUCCUGGACAUAAACCUGUCAGAACAUCAAGGAGGAUCCACAGGAUUACAGGAUUUCCCAGUGUGAUUGGCUGCAUAGAUGCACACACAUCCCCAUCACAGCUCCCUCACAUCAUGAACAGGAAGUCCAUUCACAGCAUAAAUGUGCAGGUAGGCUACAGGUAGACUGACUACUGUUUCUAAAUGUUAAAGACUGCAUCAUAGUUCUACAUCUGUCAUUCUCUGCACUGUCCAGAUCAUAUGUGAUGCUGCAUACAUCAUUUCUAAUGUGGAGGCCACGUGGUCUGGGUCUGUUCAUGACUCCAGGAUUUAUGGAGAGUCUAACCUGAGCAACAGACUGCAGCGUGGAGAGUUUGAUGGCCUUCUGCUGGGUGACAGGGGUUACCAUGACAACCCAGGCUGAUGACCUCAUACCCUGACCCUGAACCAGGCCCCCAACAGAACUUCAACCGGACUCACUGCAGGACCAGAGCCCGGGUGGAGAUGACCAUAGGCCUGCUGAAAGCCCGUUUCCAGAGCCUACGUCUCCUCAGGGUGACCCCUGAGAGGGCCUGUGAUAUUACUGUGGCAUGUGUUGUUCUUCAUAAUAUUACCACUAUUAGAGGAGAGCAACACCCUGCCCUACAAACUGAAGACCCAGAUGAUGAGCCCAUCCACCUGCAGCUAUCCAGGACAGCAGAGCAGUCAGAGACACCGUAUGCAAGAAUCACUUUAGAGUUUAAGUCACCAUCAUCACCACCACAGCAAAUAAAGACAUGAUACACAUUUCAUUUGCUCUUCUUUAUGUCCUACAAAUAAAAGAUAGUUCAGUUCAUGUUCCAGUAGUUAACAUAAUUCUCCUGUGACCAUCACCACCUCUAACUUGUGCUCCAGUAUUUCAAUUUCCAGAUCUGCCCUCCUAAUCUGUUUUUUGGAUUUUUCUCAGCAAAUGCAGUUUGUAAAUCUGUUUUACUGAUAACUGGGAAUACAUAGAGGACAUUAAAUUAUACAGUUGCACAUGAA